CUCACGUGGAUGACAAGCCCCCACCCCUGCCUCCCUCCCGCUCGCUGAUGAAGACAGCUCCAUCCCCUUCCCAAGGCUGCCACUCAAGCUGUCACCAAGGCCAGCCUAUUCGGAGAGCAGUCCUGAUAUAAGAUUCCCCCCGAGCUGCCUGGGGUUCGCCCACGCACACAAGGCAGCUGAGGCUCACAGCUCCCUCUCCCCGGGUGUCGGCUGGAGGGGGGCUGUGCAGGAUUUUGGGAAGGGAGGGGUCAAUCUUGUUUCUAGGCACCCAGAGUCCCCUUCUUCGUGAGCUGAGAGGGGCUGGGUGUUGAAGGUGCUGCAGCUUUUGGGGGCAACAAGGAACAAAAUGAGAUGGACACAGACCAGCCUGGUGGGGCUGGAAACGAGCUGAGCUUUCAGCCCUGCAUCCGUCGGGGCAACAUCCUUGACUCUUUCAUAUUUCUUCGCUAUCUGGCUCUGCUCUGUCUGCUAAGAUAAAAAUAAAAUAACCUUUGAGAUGGAGCCAGGACUGGCCAAGUUCCUUCUGCCAGCUGUCCCUAUAACAACCAUCAUCCCUGGAAUUUAACUAGUGCCUUUCCAUGGGAAAUCAAAGCCCUUCAUAAAGGCAGGCGUACAGGAGAAACCAACCUGGCUCAUCAUCAGAAGAUGGUACACAGCCUUGGCCUUCAUAAAACUGGCGUCUCACUCGAAUCUGAUCAUCGUUUGGUGGCCUGUGUGUAAUGAGUUUGGUGGAUCUCAGCCAGUUUCCAAUGGACAAGUGCCUGCAUCACCACAGUUGACAUCCGCUGCUCCCUUCGUCAUCAGCCCAGCAGAGAGGCCAAGGACUUUGUGGGCUGUAGAGGCUGAAUGCCCCUUUCGCCAGCAGAAUGGGGACUCCUCUAGGGCAGGAUUUGGGUGUGGGGAGGUUUGUGACACACAUAUGGGGCUUGGGGAAACUAGCCCUGCUACUCCCUGUUCUGGGGCUAAAGAGAGGGAUUCAGCUGUCUGGGUUUUGAAUCCGGCACCUUGCCCUAGCCCCUAAAAACCAACCCCAGCUUGUUUAUAAGGGAGGAAGAGAAGGAGGGGGCGAGGUGUUUUCUGAAGAACAAAGGAAGUAAAGACUUACAUCAAGGACCAAGAUACAGAAGCUUCUGUCACCAGGAUGUCCCAAAUGCCUGGAAGGAAUAAGGGGCUCGACACCUAGCUGGUGUCAAUCAUCUUAGGGUCAGGACUAGAAUCCAACAGCCCAGCCCACUGGACCAGCAGUUUGAUUACCAUUGUCCCUGCUACCUCUAACCACUAGACUAAACUCCCUGCGAGACCUGGGAACAAACCCUAAUAGUCCUGGCUCCCAGUCCCCCCUCCAGCCACUAAAUACUCCCCCAGAGUGAGGAAAGGAACCCAGGAGUCCUGACUUCCACAGUAUCUCAUAGACCAUACUUCCAUCCUAUGUGGGGCAUUUUUCCCUCUUUUUUGGGGUGUGUGUGUGUGUGUCAAUUAUUAAGUAAAGGAGAAAUCUGUUCCAUUAAAUAUUUUUUAAAAAUUGGAGCCAAGCAGCUUCCAUUUUCCUGUCCCUGCCUGGUGUUCAGUCCCUUAGCUCAGAACAACCAGUGAAAUAGCUCACACCGAUUUAGCAUAAAUGCCAGGGUUUGGCUGGGUUUUGGGGCAAAAUGUAAAAGGCCCAUCAUCUGGGGUCCUUGUACUUCCGCCCGCAAAGACGGAGAGACCUAAUCUAGCUCUUGAGUAUUUCGCCUCCUCUCUUCAAACCAGGGCUGCCCCAGGCUGAGAUCUCCAAUCGCAAACGUUCUGGGUGAGCCCCGGCCCUCCAUAGUGCCAAGAGGGACUUAGGGACCCAGAGUCCACCCACCCCCCCACCAACAAGAACCAUUAUCUCUCCACCCUAGGAAACUGGCCGCCAGGCAGCACAACAAGCCUGAGCAAGACAGGCGAGGCCAUUUUGAUUGUGGUGGUUGCCUUGGCAACGGGAGAAGGCCAAGGUCUCUGUGCAGAGAACGGCAGCAUGUUCUUCCCUGGGUCCCAAAUAAAGGGAUCAAGAGGAUUUGCUGAUAACACUUCACUUCCUGUGUGCAUGUGGGGUUCUCAAUGAUCAAAGAACAAACACCUCAGGGAGGGUCAUUUGCAGCAACGAUCCCAAACCGGAACCCCACAUUCAAACUUGAGGGCACCCAGGAAACUGAGUCUAGAUUUGCUGUUCCAAUCCACAGAACAGAUCUCGCCCAUGCAGAAUACUCCUAACCACGGGAAUAUUUGAAACCCGGGUGCUGUGAUAGAGGGGCAUCAGACUCUGUCUGGAGUAAGGGCUUGGAUUUCUUCUCUAAUAACAAUUUUGUCCUUCGCUAGGACAUUUCCUCUGAGGAUCUCAACGCACUUAUUCCCUCAGAGCCCAUGAGGACGAUCAAGGUGGACAAACUCUUAAGUAAGAAUCUCGUAACUUCACCACCACUGGGAGGACGCCUGUAGCCCAGACCCUUUGCGAGGAGCUCCCACCUAGAGGGGAUAGGAGCACUAGGAGCUGAUUCUCACAGUAAAACCCCGUUAGGUCUAUUUAGAAAUUAAUUUGCAUGCAUCUUACUGCUAGAGUGGUUUAAAAGGGGCCUUUGUAAAAAUGAGACUAAAAGCCCAGGGUCUCCAGCUGUCUCCUUACCACCAGGCACUGGGAGACCCAAGAACCAGCUGCCUGGGUCAGAACCACUAAUAAAAGCAGCCUUUGUGGAA
This is a long non-coding RNA of Caretta caretta (loggerhead turtle), 2715 nucleotides long. RefSeq lists it as uncharacterized. NCBI's taxonomy places the organism in Eukaryota, Metazoa, Chordata, Testudines, Cheloniidae. The record is from RefSeq and is a predicted model, not a curated record.